This 465-nucleotide ribosomal RNA is filed under the name Vreelandella stevensii. RNAcentral's name for it is "partial 16S ribosomal RNA". It matches the Rfam family "Bacterial small subunit ribosomal RNA", at positions 338 to 795 of the family's 1533-position model. Lineage: Bacteria; Pseudomonadati; Pseudomonadota; Gammaproteobacteria; Oceanospirillales; Halomonadaceae. The record is from RNAcentral.
CCUACGGCGUGCAGCAGUGGGGAAUAUUGGACAAUGGGCGAAAGCCUGAUCCAGCCAUGCCGCGUGUGUGAAGAAGGCCUUCGGGUUGUAAAGCACUUUCAGUGGGGAAGAAAGCCUUGGGGCUAAUACCCUCGAGGAAGGACAUCACCCACAGAAGAAGCACCGGCUAACUCCGUGCCAGCAGCCGCGGUAAUACGGAGGGUGCGAGCGUUAAUCGGAAUUACUGGGCGUAAAGCGCGCGUAGGCGGUCUGAUAAGCCGGUUGUGAAAGCCCCGGGCUCAACCUGGGAACGGCAUCCGGAACUGUCAGGCUAGAGUGCAGGAGAGGAAGGUAGAAUUCCCGGUGUAGCGGUGAAAUGCGUAGAGAUCGGGAGGAAUACCAGUGGCGAAGGCGGCCUUCUGGACUGACACUGACGCUGAGGUGCGAAAGCGUGGGUAGCAAACAGGAUUAGAUACCCCUGUAGUC